Molecule: ribosomal RNA, 497 nt
Filed under: uncultured bacterium
Lineage: Bacteria
Description: partial 16S ribosomal RNA
Rfam family: Bacterial small subunit ribosomal RNA
Source: RNAcentral
GACGAACGCUGGCGGCGUGCCUAAUACAUGCAAGUUGAGCGAUGAAGCUUGGUGCUUGCCCCAAUUUGAAGAGCAGCGAACGGGUGAGUAACGCGUGGGGAAUCUGCCUUUGAGCGGGGGACAACAUUUGGAAACGAAUGCUAAUACCGCAUAACAACUUUAAACAUAAGUUUUAAGUUUGAAAGAUGCAAUUGCAUCACUCAAAGAUGAUCCCGCGUUGUAUUAGCUAGUUGGUGAGGUAAAGGCUCACCAAGGCGAUGAUACAUAGCCGACCUGAGAGGGUGAUCGGCCACAUUGGGACUGAGACACGGCCCAAACUCCUACGGGAGGCAGCAGUAGGGAAUCUUCGGCAAUGGACGAAAGUCUGACCGAGCAACGCCGCGUGAGUGAAGAAGGGUUUCGGAUCGUAAAGCUCUGUUGGUAGAGAAGAACGUUGGUGAGAGUGGAAAGCUCAUCAAGUGACGGUAACUACCCAGAAAGGGACGGCUAACUACGUG